GGUGGCGCGCGCCGCUACCUCGACCCGGCUUUUCCCGCCUCCCUGGGGUUUUAAAGGCCCAGAGAAGGCUCCCUCCUCUCAGGCCUGGAGUUUCCUGCUCUGUGAACUCUUCUCGCAGAACUCGCCCACGCAAGCUCUCGGCAGUCGCUGGUGGAAAAGGUGACAGAGGCCCAGUGAAAGGAAGUGAUUUUCCAAGGACACACCGGUUCUGAGAGUCCCUGCAGAGAUAAAGUGGUCAGGACGGCCUGAAGAAAUUUCUGUAGAUGGCCCUGGGGUAAGAAGGAGAAGUAACAAGUUUCCUGGCCUUCCCUGUGGAACUCCCAGCCUGGCUGGAGCUGAGUUGAUGGGGAUAAAGUCUAGAUGGAGUCAGCCGGAGUCCAGGCACCAUCGUCUCUCUGCUGCUCAGAGUGGCCUUUGGAGGAGACUUCCCAGAAAAGAUCCCAAAGAGUUCCAGUACCAGAGGUUGGUGAUGCAGAGAUGAAUUAGAUGUGGUCCCUGCCUCCACAAGGGUCUCAGCCCACUGCAGUAGACACAAGUACAGAGUCUGGCUGGCAGACAAGGUACAGAUGGAAAUCUUCCUGGACUCAGACCAAGAGGAGAAGAAAGGGUGGGAAAGGUUUGCCCCACGGCCUGCAGUAGCACUAGGUAAACCCAACUCAGGCUGAUGCUAGGAGAUUAGCUGGAGGACUCAUGCCUUUGACCCCCACUGGCCAGUCCAGCACUUCACCAAGUUCUACAACAUCCAUGGCCUCUUGGACUUUUCACAACAGUGCGCUAGCUGAGGAAAUGGAGGCUCAGAAACAUUAAUGUCUUACCCCAGGCCACAGAGCUAACUGGUGAAAGGGCCCAGACAGCAAUCCCAGAUCUCCUAACAACUUGUCCAGUGCUUGUCCGUGAUGUGUUUCUGACCUCGUGGAUGGCAUCACCCUUUCAUAGCUCUAACUGUCCCCCAUAGAAGGGUAAGAGGAGCAUCAGUGUUUAACUGGACAUGCCCAUGCCCUCAGCACUCUGCUACGAGCUCCAAGAGAUAAAAAGACAUAAAAGUUGUCCUUGUUCUCAACGCUCAUUCAUUCAUUUACUCACUCAUUCAUGCAUUCCAAGAGUUCACAAGGUGUCAGGCCCUGUGAGGAGGACCUAAUACUCCUCAAGGGGCUCACCAUGUAAUGAAGGGAACAGAAUCAGAAGUCAGCCUCUCCCAUUCAAGGGGAGAAGCUAAAAUAACGGUGUCUGGAGUGUGAUGAGCAUGCUCUUGACAGGACUUCACGUUGCCUGUGCGAUCCAGGGAGGCAUCCUGGAAAGGAGCUGAGUAUGGAAAGGUCCAUCGCUGCUGCGGGAGUGGGAUCUGACACCUGACACGACAGAGGCAGAGGCUCAGCACAGUCAGCAGCUCAGUGGACCUCCAGCCUCCCUAGAAGCUCCUCCUCUGGUGCCCUGAAGCCUUCUCCUGGGUCCUUAAGCAGAAGCAGAGUUCAGCGAGGGUUGACAGCAGUGGAUUUCUAGCUGGCUUUGAAGCCACUGCAUCCUGCCUCACCUGCCGACUAGCUGUGUGACCUUGGGCAAGGUGCUUAUUCACUCUGUUGCCUAGAUUUCCUUAUCUAUAAAGAUAGUAAUAGUACCUA
Camelus dromedarius (Arabian camel) is the source of this 1619-nucleotide long non-coding RNA. RefSeq lists it as uncharacterized. The record is from RefSeq and is a predicted model, not a curated record. The transcript has 6 exons. NCBI's taxonomy places the organism in Eukaryota, Metazoa, Chordata, Mammalia, Artiodactyla, Camelidae.